CCUACGGGGGGCUGCAGUGAGGAAUAUUCCACAAUGGGGGAAACCCUGAUGGAGCGAUGCCGCGUGCAGGAAGACGCUUUUCGGAGUGUAAACUGCUUUUAAUAGGGAAGAUUAUGACGGUACCUAUAGAAUAAGGACCGGCUAACUACGUGCCAGCAGCCGCGGUAAUACGUAGGGUCCAAGCGUUAUUCGGAAUUACUGGGCGUAAAGCGUACGUAGGCGGUCAGAUAAGUUGGAUGUGAAAUCCUGUGGCUCAACCACAUGGACUGUGUCCAAAACUAUUUGACUAGAGCAUAGUAGAGGCAAGUGGAAUUUGCGGUGUAGGAGUGACAUCCGUAGAUAUCGCAAGGAACACCAAUGGCGAAGGCAGCUUGCUGGGCUAUUGCUGACGCUCAGGUACGAAAGCGUGGGGAGCGAACGGGAUUAGAUACCCCAGUAGUC
RNAcentral lists this ribosomal RNA (441 nucleotides) under uncultured bacterium. RNAcentral describes it as "bacterial SSU rRNA". It matches the Rfam family "Bacterial small subunit ribosomal RNA", at positions 338 to 795 of the family's 1533-position model. The record is from RNAcentral.